Molecule: ribosomal RNA, 253 nt
Filed under: uncultured bacterium
Lineage: Bacteria
Description: partial 16S ribosomal RNA
Rfam family: Bacterial small subunit ribosomal RNA
Source: RNAcentral
UACGAAGGGUGCAAGCGUUACUCGGAAUUACUGGGCGUAAAGCGUGCGUAGGUGGUGAGUUAAGUCUGUCGUGAAAGCCCCGGGCUCAACCUGGGAAUGGCGAUGGAUACUGGCUCGCUAGAGUGCGGUAGAGGAGAGUGGAAUUCCGGGUGUAGUGGUGAAAUGCGUAGAGAUCCGGAGGAACACCAGUGGCGAAGGCGACACGCUGGGCCGUACCUGACGCUAAAACGCGACAGCAUGGGGAGCGAACGGG